This 465-nucleotide ribosomal RNA is filed under the name Vreelandella stevensii. RNAcentral describes it as "partial 16S ribosomal RNA". It matches the Rfam family "Bacterial small subunit ribosomal RNA", at positions 338 to 795 of the family's 1533-position model. The record is from RNAcentral. Lineage: Bacteria; Pseudomonadati; Pseudomonadota; Gammaproteobacteria; Oceanospirillales; Halomonadaceae.
CCUACGGGUGGCUGCAGUGGGGAAUAUUGGACAAUGGGCGAAAGCCUGAUCCAGCCAUGCCGCGUGUGUGAAGAAGGCCUUCGGGUUGUAAAGCACUUUCAGUGGGGAAGAAAGCCUUGGGGCUAAUACCCUCGAGGAAGGACAUCACCCACAGAAGAAGCACCGGCUAACUCCGUGCCAGCAGCCGCGGUAAUACGGAGGGUGCGAGCGUUAAUCGGAAUUACUGGGCGUAAAGCGCGCGUAGGCGGUCUGAUAAGCCGGUUGUGAAAGCCCCGGGCUCAACCUGGGAACGGCAUCCGGAACUGUCAGGCUAGAGUGCAGGAGAGGAAGGUAGAAUUCCCGGUGUAGCGGUGAAAUGCGUAGAGAUCUGGAGGAAUACCAGUGGCGAAGGCGGCCUUCUGGACUGACACUGACGCUGAGGUGCGAAAGCGUGGGUAGCAAACAGGAUUAGAUACCCGAGUAGUC